UCAAUUUACAAUUUUCAACAAAAAAUAAGUACUCUGAAGCGGCUUUCAGUCAACAACAUUCCAUUCAUCCAUCCAAACUUCCAUCCUGCAAAAAUGCGAAAUGAAAUAUGAAAAUCAAACACAAUCAAUUCUAAGUCUGAUGCAUUGUGAAGGUACUAAAUCUUGAUGAUUUACCCAAUUCAUUGAAUUGAUCCCAAGCUUCCUAUCCUGCACAUCUCAAACAUAACACAAGUCGAGAAAAUAAUAGAGCUGUGAUUUUCAUUACAAGUUAACAAAUAAUCUCAUCAUAACGUGUCCAUAGUAAUAGGUAAAUCACCAUCUGCCCAAACAACUAAAUAUCAUCACUUAGUAAGACAUUAAUAUUAUAUAUGGACUUACAUAAAAAGCCACAAACUGCCCAAACAAGAACAUCUCAUUUGAAGCAAAACCAUUUACUUAUGUUAAUUUACACUAUUAUUUUCACUUAGUUUAAUCCACUCUGGUAAUUGAAGUCUUUCAAAUACCAGUUGGAGACUU
RNAcentral lists this long non-coding RNA (516 nucleotides) under Salvia miltiorrhiza (redroot sage). RNAcentral's name for it is "long non-coding RNA (SMIL_LNC006589)". Lineage: Eukaryota; Viridiplantae; Streptophyta; Magnoliopsida; Lamiales; Lamiaceae. The record is from RNAcentral.